Molecule: transfer RNA, 74 nt
Filed under: Candidatus Diapherotrites archaeon CG11_big_fil_rev_8_21_14_0_20_37_9
Lineage: Archaea; Nanobdellati; Candidatus Iainarchaeota
Description: tRNA-Lys
Rfam family: tRNA
About the family: Transfer RNA (tRNA) molecules are approximately 80 nucleotides in length. Their secondary structure includes four short double-helical elements and three loops (D, anti-codon, and T loops).
Source: RNAcentral
GGGCCCGUAGCUCAGCCUGGUAGAGCAGCGGACUUUUAAUCCGCGUGUCAAGGGUUCAAAUCCCUUCGGGCUCG